UCCAAAGCCCCUCAUUUCUUUGUUGUUGUU
RNAcentral lists this non-coding RNA (30 nucleotides) under Rattus norvegicus (Norway rat). Lineage: Eukaryota; Metazoa; Chordata; Mammalia; Rodentia; Muridae. The record is from RNAcentral.